GGACCAGAGAGGCUUUGGAGGUUAGUCAGGUGGUCGCCAUCUUCUUGAUGAGUUUCACCUCCUCACCCAGGAAGUGGCUCUCCCGGAAGUCACAGAGGUGUGGGUCUGCGCGGGCAGAACCCAGGGCAUGCAGAUCCAAAAGGGCCUGCUUCAGGUUCUUCUCCAGGACAAUAGCAGCUUC
This is a non-coding RNA of Vicugna pacos (alpaca), 181 nucleotides long. Lineage: Eukaryota; Metazoa; Chordata; Mammalia; Artiodactyla; Camelidae. The record is from RefSeq and is a predicted model, not a curated record.